This 237-nucleotide long non-coding RNA is filed under the name Setaria italica (foxtail millet). Its description in RNAcentral is "long non-coding RNA (SITA_LNC000847)". Lineage: Eukaryota; Viridiplantae; Streptophyta; Magnoliopsida; Poales; Poaceae. The record is from RNAcentral.
GGAUGGGCAAGGCUACGGGCGGGCAUUUUUAGCCAUUAGCUACAACACCUCCUGGAUGGGCAAGGACCACGCGUGGCGUCCGUCCAUGCCCUGCCGGCUGCCACGACUCUCGCGCGCGCGCGGUGUGCACGCGACGUACGCACGCAAUCGUGUGGUCCUUUGAGAUGGACUGUAGUAGCUUGCUAGGCAUUUUGCAUUGUGUACGUAGCGUAGUUUGUGUUGGAUCGUCUCUCUCUC